RNAcentral lists this unclassified non-coding RNA (240 nucleotides) under soil metagenome. Its description in RNAcentral is "partial contains 5.8S ribosomal RNA, internal transcribed spacer 2, and large subunit ribosomal RNA". The record is from RNAcentral.
AACCUUAUGGACCUGCGGGCGUAUACCUGCGGAAGGAUCAUUACAGAGUUGCAAAACUCCCUAAACCAUUGUGAACCUACCUUCUACCGUUGCUUCGGCGGGCGGGCCUAGCGCCCCCCCGGCCCCCCGCGGGCGCCCGCCGGAGGAUAACCAAACUCUUGACAUCAGUGGCCUCUCUGAGUAUUCUUUACUGAAUAAGUCAAAACUUUUAACAAUGGAUCUCAGAUCGGAAGAGCACAC